GCGCCCCUUCACACCUCUGCGGUGGGGACGGAGCUGCCGAGACAAGCAGAGUGCGAACUGGAGAAAGCCCAGAGCUCAGAGCUCCCAGGAGCCCACCGUGCCCCACGGCUAGGCGGUCUCCUGGUGUGGACGGCUAGCGGUGUCAUUACUUCUUACAAAAGUUUAUUUUUGAAAGCUUCUCCCUUCCUUCCUUCUUCCCUUCCUUUCUUUUCUUCCUUUUUUCUUUGUUUUGAGUCAGGUUCUCACUCUGUCGCCCAGGCAGGAGCGCAGUGGCGCUAUCUCAGCUCACGGAGCCUCCACCUAUUGGGCUCAAGCGAUCCUCCCACCUCAGCCUCCCGAGUAGCUGGGACCACAGUCGCACGCCACCACGUCCGGCUAAUUAUUUUUUUUCGUUUUUCGUAGAGAGGGAGUGUCGUUAUGCUGCCCAGGCUGGUUUCAAACUCCUGGCCUCAAGCGAUCCUCCCACCUCCGGCUUCCCAAAGUGCUGGGAUUCGGGGUGUUAGCCACUGUCCCGGACUACUUCUUUUUUAUCCUGUCAGAAAAACUAUCCAUGUUCAUCGAGGAACACUUGGAAAACCCAGAAAAAAACUGAAAAAAGAAGAUAAUCACUCACAACCCCACUCAGCCCAUCACACUCUAAAAGUUUUGACACAUUUUCCUCCCAACUUUUACUGAAUUUAAACAGAUAAAAAUGUACAUAUAUGGGAUUAUUAUUGGAAAAGAUGAAUGUAGAUACCAACAAGAGAAAAACAGAAAAGACACCAAAUCAGCGUAAAAUUAUGUUCGUUUUCUUCACGAGGCGGCCUCUCCUCCAUACACCUACUUGGUUUUAAUAAAUUUUCUUCCUCAUGGGCUUCCUUGAUGAAAUAUCGUUCCAUCAUUUUUUCCUUCCUCAAAGUGCUUCACACAAUCUUCCUUUUUGCCUUCAACAUGGAGUUUAAGUAAAAUUGUUGUUUUGAAAUCUUCACGGAGUUUAAGUAAAAUUGUUGUUUCAAAAUCUUCUAGGUCACAUGAGGCAUGUUACCAGUGACAAAAAGUUGUUUUGAAAGUGGUGAGAAAAAUCUCAGCCUUAGUGACUGGAAGAGUGGGCAGUGGCCAUCAAGUGAAAACACCAGAGGUGUUUUGAAACCUCUCAGAUUGUAGUCUUUGGAAUAGCUGCCCCUAGAGAUCACGAGUGAUGAAACACUAUCAUUUCAUGCCCCUACCUGAAUGGUUUUGCCAGCGAAAAUACUUCAUAAAAAUGUAUCUGAAAACUGGCAAAGCCCAUACUGUGUGGGCAAGAAUUUCGAUAUCCCGUUGUUCAAGGUUUUAUUGUCAAU
RNAcentral lists this long non-coding RNA (1319 nucleotides) under Homo sapiens (human). RNAcentral describes it as "non-protein coding lnc-TMBIM4-5:1". Lineage: Eukaryota; Metazoa; Chordata; Mammalia; Primates; Hominidae. The record is from RNAcentral.